AGGGCACCACCAGGAGUGGAGCCUGCGGCUUAAUUUGACUCAACACGGGGAAACUCACCCGGCCCGGACACCGUAAGGAUUGACAGAUUGAAAGCUCUUUCUUGAUUCGGUGGUUGGUGGUGCAUGGCCGUUCUUAGUUCGUGGAGCGAUUUGUCUGGUUUAUUCCGAUAACGAGCGAGACUCUAGCUUACUAAAUAGUCUGACCUUUACUGCUGAGGUCUGACUUCUUAGAGGGAUUUUCGGUGUUCAGCCGCAAGAGAUUGAGCAAUAACAGGUCUGUGAUGCCCUUAGAUGUCCGGGGCUGCACGCGCGCUACACUGGCGAAAUCAGCGUGCUAUUCCUGUCUCGAAAGAGACUGGUAAACCGAUGAAAAUUUGCCGUGAUUGGGAUCGGAAAUUGCAAUUAUUUUCCGUGAACGAGGAAUUCCAAGUAAGUGUGAGUCAUCAACUUGCGUUGAUUACGUCCCUGCCCUUUGUACACACCGCCCGUCGCUGCCCGGGACUGAGCCAUUUCGAGAAA
This 519-nucleotide ribosomal RNA is filed under the name uncultured eukaryote. RNAcentral describes it as "SSU rRNA". It matches the Rfam family "Eukaryotic small subunit ribosomal RNA", at positions 1161 to 1706 of the family's 1831-position model. The record is from RNAcentral.